GUUUCCGUAGGUGAACCUGCGGAAGGAUCAUUAUUGUAUAACCGAGGUGCGAGGGCUGUCGCUGACCCGAAAGGUCGUGCACGCCCGAGUGCCCUCACACGCAUCCAUCUCACCCCUAUGUGCACCACCGCGUGGGUCCCCCUUUGGCUUGUUCGGAGGGGGGCUUACGUUUUCACACAAACUUUGUAUGCAGUGUAGAAUGUAUUUUUUGUUUUUGCGAUCACGCAAUCAAUACAACUUUCAACAACGGAUCUCUUGGCUCUC
This 264-nucleotide unclassified non-coding RNA is filed under the name plant metagenome. RNAcentral describes it as "partial contains small subunit ribosomal RNA, internal transcribed spacer 1, and 5.8S ribosomal RNA". The record is from RNAcentral.